RNAcentral lists this ribosomal RNA (253 nucleotides) under uncultured bacterium. RNAcentral describes it as "partial 16S ribosomal RNA". It matches the Rfam family "Bacterial small subunit ribosomal RNA", at positions 524 to 776 of the family's 1533-position model. The record is from RNAcentral.
UACGUAGGUGGCAAGCGUUGUCCGGAAUUAUUGGGCGUAAAGCGCGCGCAGGCGGUUCCUUAAGUCUGAUGUGAAAGCCCACGGCUCAACCGUGGAGGGUCAUUGGAAACUGGGGAACUUGAGUGCAGGAGAGAAGAGUGGAAUUCCACGUGUAGCGGUGAAAUGCGUAGAGAUGUGGAGGAACACCAGUGGCGAAGGCGACUCUUUGGCCUGUAACUGACGCUGAGGCGCGAAAGCGUGGGGAGCGAACAGG